This 447-nucleotide ribosomal RNA is filed under the name uncultured bacterium. Its description in RNAcentral is "bacterial SSU rRNA". It matches the Rfam family "Bacterial small subunit ribosomal RNA", at positions 329 to 792 of the family's 1533-position model. The record is from RNAcentral.
GGCCAGACUCCUACGGGAGGCAGCAGUGGGGGAUAUUGCACAAUGGGGGGAACCCUGAUGCAGCGACGCCGCGUGGGUGAAGAAGUAUUUCGGUAUGUAAAGCCCUAUCGGCAGGGAAGAAAUUGGACGGUACCUGACUAAGAAGCCCCGGCUAACUACGUGCCAGCAGCCGCGGUAAUACGUAGGGGGCAAGCGUUAUCCGGAUUCACUGGGUGUAAAGGGAGCGUAGACGGCCAUGCAAGCCUGGAGUGAAAGCCCGGGGCCCAACCCCGGGACUGCUCUGGGAACUGUGCGGCUGGAGUGCGGGAGGGGCAGGCGGAAUUCCUGGUGUAGCGGUGAAAUGCGUAGAUAUCAGGAGGAACACCGGCGGCGAAGGCGGCCUGCUGGACCGCGACUGACGUUGAGGCUCGAAAGCGUGGGGAGCAAACAGGAUUAGAUACCCGCGUA